CUCAACAAUAGGCAAAAAAUCUUACCCCUAUAUAGCAGGGUGCCGGUGGAGAGGCAUUGUAUACCCUAAAUGGCAUGCGUGUUGCCAUGCUGUAUAAAGUAGCGGGCUACAGAGAGCCUAAACAGAUGGCUCCAAUCCGGCAGUGCAUUGAAGAGUAGCCCGGUGGUGGUUAAUAGAAAUCAGCAUAAAUGACAAUGAAACGAGCACCGGCACCAUGAAACGCAGGGACCUGGUGUGGCCAAGGCUCGCCUGCACCUGGCAGCUUGGCCCAGGUGCUGCGGGUGGUGGUGGCACCGCUCCAGCUGAAGGGACACGGGCAUCGGGUGCGAGUGGCUCUGUGUCUGGGAUGGUCCCCAAGUCACAGCCAAGGCACGAGGAGCUGCCAGCACCACGUGCGGUGCAGGGAUCGCCCUGGCGCUGACACCAGUCCAGCACAGCUGGUGAUAUAAAUGGUGAUGCCAUUUGUUUUUGUUCCACAACGUACUAAAAAAUUGCAUUGUUUGGUAUAGUCACAGCCUGAGCUUCAUCGCUUGAAGGAACUCCUACAUCCUACACCUUCUGCUAACCGAAAUGCAAGCUGUGGUUGAUCUGGGGACAAUUACGCCUUUUUUUUCCCGGUUAAACUCGUGUCCCUGUGAGCCAAAUUCUCCCCCUGACUUCCAAGGGCUUAUGAAACAGCAGGUGGUGCGCUGCCCUGCCCCGUCCUUCUGCUGAGGGAUGCUCCGAGACAAAACGAAACGCAGGAGAGAAGAGGUGUGCGGGGACAAAAAGCAAGGGCUGAGCAUGUUUAUUGAAGGGAUGUUGCCCUGAAGGGACGCUUCACGGCACGUUUUGCCUGUUAGGAGCGGGGUGACUGGGGCACUGAUGGAGGUGGCGGUGGGUGGGCACCGGAGCUGAGCACGGACACGCGGCUGUGUCCUCAUCUCUGUCAGUGAGCGGGGAUGGAAGUGGAAACUGGAGAGGGGAUGAAGUGGAAAUUGGAGAGGGGAUGGAAGAGGAAAACCUCGGAGCCCAACGCCUCCCGCCCUAAGAGCGCCUCAGGGCUGAGGCGCGCGCGGGAGCCGCGCCGUGCGCGCCCCCUGGGGGCCGGCGUCGGGGGCGCGCAGCGGCGGCGCGGUCACGUGCCCGUGACAGCAGCGGCGCCGUGCCCGGCCGGCAGCAGUCGCGGCAGCGGCACCGCAGCGCCAGGCGCCGCCAGCCCAGCCCAGCCCAGCCCAGCCCAGCCCGGGGAAGGAGCGGGGCCGGGCGGCUGCGGCCAGCCGGGAGGGAGCCGGCAGCGGCGGGAAAGCCGAUGUGAGGAGCGAUCGCGGGCGGGCGGCGGCGGCGGCAGCAGCAGCGGCCAUGGCGGGGCCCCGCUGAAGGAAGCAGCGAGGGAGGAGGAGGAGGAGGAGGAGGGCGAGGAGGAGGAGGAGGAGGAGGAGGAGGAGGAGGGCAGAGCCCCCCGCGCCAGCAUGGCGGACCGCAGCCUGGACAGCGUGUCGCUGCCCCUGGAGGUGCGGGCCCGCCUGGCCGAGCUGGAGCUGGAGCUCUCCGAAGGUAAAACAGAUAAAUAAAUGCAUUAUAUAUAUAUAUAUAUAAUAAAUUUUAAAAAUGGGGAGGGGGGGAACGCGGG
RNAcentral lists this long non-coding RNA (1612 nucleotides) under Anas platyrhynchos platyrhynchos (common mallard). RNAcentral describes it as "lncRNA (ENSAPLG00000026508.1)". The record is from RNAcentral. Lineage: Eukaryota; Metazoa; Chordata; Aves; Anseriformes; Anatidae.